Molecule: long non-coding RNA, 776 nt
Organism: Mya arenaria
Lineage: Eukaryota; Metazoa; Mollusca; Bivalvia; Myida; Myidae
Exons: 3
Source: RefSeq, a predicted model, not a curated record
UUUCCUUCUUCCCAAUACUAUUCGACAAGUCAUUUGCAAAACAAAUCCUUAUAGGGAAAUAAUGUAAUACGAAAAAGGUAUAUAACAAGUCGGAACUGCCUCUGUAUCAGUGGACAUACCCGCGCCUUCAACGUGUUAGCUACUAGUUUCAGGUGACUAUUGAAAUGGGUCCCGGCUUCAUUAUUCUGUUCAUUCUGGCCGCGUUAGGUCCAGUCGUCGCCGGCGAUUGCAACUCUGCCCCGGAUAUAAACGGAUGUAGUAUUCCAUGGGACCUGCCAUAUUUCUACAAGGACGUUUUCGAACGUGACUGCAAUAGACACGACAUCUGCUAUUCCUGUGGAAAGUCUUAUGGAAUAUCGAGAAGUGCUUGCGACUACCGUUUGUACCGAAAUAUCAAAGCUACAUGUAACACCGAUUCUAGAGUAAGAAACCGACUUUGGUGCAAGAAUGUUACCCUUGACUACUACGCGGCGGUGGCGAUUGGCGGUUGGCGCCAUUAUAAAGAAACGUCCCCGGGUUGGUGCAGCCAAUCCUACGUAUCACGGUGUAUUGCUUAAACAAUUCUGAUUGAGUGAUGAAUAAAAUAGACGUGAACAAAAUUUGUUUGGUUUCGACCAUUAAGCUUUGCAAAAAAAUAUAUAAUACUAUAAUACUGUCAAAGAGGUCAUUCUCAAUUCAUAAUUUAAUAUAAACUAUAGAAUUGUUUUUUUAUAUUAUUGAUUUUUGGACAUGACUGUUUUAUUCUGGAUUCAAAAUAAAAAAUGAGGCAACUGGAA